UACGUAGGUGGCGAGCGUUGUCCGGAUUUAUUGGGCGUAAAGAGCUCGUAGGCGGCUUGGUAAGUCAGGUGUGAAAUCUCCACGCUCAACGUGGAGGGGCCACCCGAAACUGCCAUGGCUUGAGUCCGGUAGGGGAGUGUGGAAUUCCCGGUGUAGCGGUGAAAUGCGCAGAUAUCGGGAGGAACACCCGUAGCGAAGGCGGCACUCUGGGCCGGUACUGACGCUGAGGAGCGAAAGCGUGGGGAGCAAACAGG
This 254-nucleotide ribosomal RNA is filed under the name uncultured bacterium. Its description in RNAcentral is "partial 16S ribosomal RNA". It matches the Rfam family "Bacterial small subunit ribosomal RNA", at positions 524 to 776 of the family's 1533-position model. The record is from RNAcentral.